UUAUGUAAUUAAGUGGUGUUUACUUUAGUUACUGUCAGAAUGAACUUCUGGCUACAAACCAUCAAAUUGUCGGGAAGUCCCUAAAGCUGUUUCAACCAAAUAAGAAUGGUAACAUAUCUUAUGGCACAGGUAAUGACUCGUGGUACGGUAAAAUCGAUACAGAUUAUCAUAAUAUAUGAUAAAUGGGUAAUCCGCAACCAAGUACCUAUCAUCUUAGGUAUGCAGUUCAUCGACUAGAUGUUGGUUGGCUUUUUUUUUUAUUAGCUUAAGAUAUAGUCAAGCCCCACUCGAAAGAGUGCA
Non-coding RNA from Diplodia seriata, 300 nucleotides. NCBI's taxonomy places the organism in Eukaryota, Fungi, Ascomycota, Dothideomycetes, Botryosphaeriales, Botryosphaeriaceae. The record is from Rfam.